This 398-nucleotide ribosomal RNA is filed under the name uncultured bacterium. RNAcentral's name for it is "bacterial SSU rRNA". It matches the Rfam family "Bacterial small subunit ribosomal RNA", at positions 358 to 773 of the family's 1533-position model. The record is from RNAcentral.
GGAAUAUUGGACAAUGGGCGAAAGCCUGAUCCAGCCAUGCCGCGUGAGUGAUGAAGGCCCUAGGGUUGUAAAGCUCUUUCAACGGUGAAGAUAAUGACGGUAACCGUAGAAGAAGCCCCGGAUAACUUCGUGCCAGCAGCCGCGGUAAUACGAAGGGGGCUAGCGUUGUUCGGAAUUACUGGGCGUAAAGCGCACGUAGGCGGAUUGUUAAGUUAGGGGUGAAAUCCCAGGGCUCAACCCUGGAACUGCCUUUAAUACUGGCGAUCUAGAGUCCGAGAGAGGUGAGUGGAAUUCCGAGUGUAGAGGUGAAAUGCGUAGAUAUUCGGAAGAACACCAGUGGCGAAGGCGACUAACUGGACAUGUAUUGACGCUGAGGUGCGAAAGCGUGGGGAGCAAAC